AGAGUUUGAUCAUGGCUCAGGAUGAACGCUAGCGGCAGGCUUAACACAUGCAAGUCGAGGGGUAGAGUUCUUCGGAAUUUGAGACCGGCGCACGGGUGCGUAACGCGUAUGCAAUCUACCUUUUACAGAGGGAUAGCCCAGAGAAAUUUGGAUUAAUACCUCAUAGUAUAAUGACUCGGCAUCGAGAUAUUAUUAAAGUCACAACGGUAAAAGAUGAGCAUGCGUCCCAUUAGCUAGUUGGUAAGGUAACGGCUUACCAAGGCUACGAUGGGUAGGGGUCCUGAGAGGGAGAUCCCCCACACUGGUACUGAGACACGGACCAGACUCCUACGGGAGGCAGCAGUGAGGAAUAUUGGACAAUGGGCGCAAGCCUGAUCCAGCCAUGCCGCGUGCAGGAUGACGGUCCUAUGGAUUGUAAACUGCUUUUAUACGAGAAGAAACACUGCUUCGUGAAGCAGCUUGACGGUAUCGUAAGAAUAAGGAUCGGCUAACUCCGUGCCAGCAGCCGCGGUAAUACGGAGGAUCCAAGCGUUAUCCGGAAUCAUUGGGUUUAAAGGGUCCGUAGGCGGUUUAAUAAGUCAGUGGUGAAAGCCCAUCGCUCAACGGUGGAACGGCCAUUGAUACUGUUAAACUUGAAUUAUUAGGAAGUAACUAGAAUAUGUAGUGUAGCGGUGAAAUGCUUAGAGAUUACAUGGAAUACCAAUUGCGAAGGCAGGUUACUACUAAUGGAUUGACGCUGAUGGACGAAAGCGUGGGUAGCGAACAGGAUUAGAUACCCUAGUAGUCC
This 787-nucleotide ribosomal RNA is filed under the name uncultured bacterium. RNAcentral describes it as "bacterial SSU rRNA". It matches the Rfam family "Bacterial small subunit ribosomal RNA", at positions 8 to 796 of the family's 1533-position model. The record is from RNAcentral.